Molecule: long non-coding RNA, 641 nt
Organism: Amblyraja radiata (thorny skate)
Lineage: Eukaryota; Metazoa; Chordata; Chondrichthyes; Rajiformes; Rajidae
Exons: 3
Source: RefSeq, a predicted model, not a curated record
GUGAGCCGCGCGGACCAGCUGCAGCGGCUUCGCUUUGACAUUGAGUGAAGCAGUCACGCUUAGUCACGUUGGUGAGUGUUGCUGGAAUCAGUGUGGAGUUACUGGGAGAGGAUAGAGGGCUGAUGGUAUUGCUCUGCUGGGAACUUGCAAGGGUGUGGUGGUUGCUGAAUGGCUUCCUGUGUUGUGAUGCUGCCUGGCCCGCUGAGUCUCUCCCGCACUUUGUGUUUUGCUCUGGAUUUAACUAUUGAAGCAUCUACCCUUUCCACCGGUGGAGAUUUAAGACCACAAAACCAACUGCUACGAAAAUGGCAGCUGGUUCAUGCGGGAGAGUUUCCAAGGAAUAUGGGCCACACGCAAGCAAAAGGACACAAAGCGCAGGGGUGACACAGGCAGUGCUCGGCCUGUGGACUUCGGAAGCCGCGGUCUCCGGUAGGAAGUGGCCGAUUUGGAACUCCAAGCCGCUGAUAGUGUUCUUCCGUUCCGACACUGGUGCUCCGAUCAUCCCGGCGAGAGGGCCUGAAACAUCGGGCCACCCGUAGCGACGACUGCGGAGGCCUCAAAUGCCCUGACCACAGGUGAACAAAGAGGACGAGGACUGAACUUUAUUGCCUUCCUUCACAUGUUGAUUCUGCUGUGUGGGG